This 441-nucleotide ribosomal RNA is filed under the name uncultured Hyphomicrobiales bacterium. RNAcentral describes it as "bacterial SSU rRNA". It matches the Rfam family "Bacterial small subunit ribosomal RNA", at positions 337 to 795 of the family's 1533-position model. The record is from RNAcentral. Lineage: Bacteria; Pseudomonadati; Pseudomonadota; Alphaproteobacteria; Hyphomicrobiales.
ACCUACGGGGGGCUGCAGUGGGGAAUCUUGGACAAUGGGCGCAAGCCUGAUCCAGCCAUGCCGCGUGAGUGAAGAAGGUCUUCGGAUUGUAAAGCUCUUUUACCAGGGACGAUAAUGACGGUACCUGGAGAAUAAGCCCCGGCAAACUUCGUGCCAGCAGCCGCGGUAAUACGAAGGGGGCUAGCGUUGUUCGGAAUUACUGGGCGUAAAGCGCACGUAGGCGGCGUAUUAAGUCAGGGGUGAAAUCCCGGAGCUCAACUCCGGAACUGCCUUUGAUACUGGUAGUCUAGAGAUCGGAAGAGGUUAGUGGAAUUCCCAGUGUAGAGGUGAAAUUCGUAGAUAUUGGGAAGAACACCAGUGGCGAAGGCGGCUAACUGGUCCGAUACUGACGCUGAGGUGCGAAAGCGUGGGGAGCAAACAGGAUUAGAUACCCCGGUAGUC